Oryzias latipes (Japanese medaka) is the source of this 920-nucleotide non-coding RNA. NCBI's taxonomy places the organism in Eukaryota, Metazoa, Chordata, Actinopteri, Beloniformes, Adrianichthyidae. The record is from RefSeq and is a predicted model, not a curated record.
GGCGAUCUGAGCUGCAUGGGGACUGGGAGGAGGGCGGAUGGGUCACAGACCUGAGACCAAACACAGAGGAGGUGGUUUCAUCUUCGUAGAGCUGCCUGGAUGCCGGCUGGAGAAGAGAAGAAAGACAGCAGUGAGAGUUAUAUUUCUCCUGUGCAGGAAAAAGGUCAAGCAGUUCUCCUCCAUCACACUGGCAGGGGUUGGAAAGAUCGCAUCUGAACAACUUCUUCCUUGAUUUCACUGUGAGUAUUCUCUGAAAUAGAUAGAUUAUUUGCGGUUUUCCUGUCAGGUUCUGUGCUCUUAAAACUUCUUUAAAGUCCCCCGAUGAUUUUUUUUUUUUUAAUAAAAACGUUCCUAGUGAUGUUUUAGUUAAGGUUAUGAAGUUUUUAACCAAAAUCAAGCAGCACUGGUUGUGGCUCAGAACUGAUUUGAUGCUAGCACAUGCAGAUUGUUGAAUUCACUUCCACGCCAAAUACAAACAAAUGACAGAAAAAAAAAGUGACUAUUCGCCUGUAAUUUACAAAUACAUGUGGCCAGUGCUGAACUUUUUACUUGGCUGUACGGACCCAGAGUAAGGGUUAAGUUUAGGAUUAAGGGUAAUGUCAAUGGUACAGACACGAUCUGAGGUCCUGCAAUGCGAUUUGAGCGACCAGCGUGUAAGAAAGGUCUGACAGCAGGGCUGCGCAAUUUGGUACCCAUCUGACCCAAAUCGGGAUGGGUACUGUUGGGCGAAGGCGGGUAAACCCUGUACUGUCUGUCGCAGGGCCCAUGGAGCUGGAGCGAUCCCGAUCACUCUGCCGGAAAGCGAGCUGGCGGCCAGACAGAGAGCCGCUGCGGGAUGGGGAGCCAGCCUGAUCGGGCCUCCUGAACUUUAUAAUGUUUUUCUUAUUUUCAUCAAAGCAAUAAUAAAAAGGCUCCCCUGA